ACUCACUAGCUCAGUUGGUAGAGCAUGAGACUCUUAAUCUCAGGGUCAUAGGUUAAAGCCCCACAUUGGGUU
Molecule: transfer RNA, 72 nt
Filed under: Neotoma lepida (desert woodrat)
Lineage: Eukaryota; Metazoa; Chordata; Mammalia; Rodentia; Cricetidae
Rfam family: tRNA
About the family: Transfer RNA (tRNA) molecules are approximately 80 nucleotides in length. Their secondary structure includes four short double-helical elements and three loops (D, anti-codon, and T loops).
Source: Rfam by way of RNAcentral